This 583-nucleotide long non-coding RNA is filed under the name Equus caballus (horse). Its description in RNAcentral is "lncRNA (ENSECAG00000047603.1)". The record is from RNAcentral. Lineage: Eukaryota; Metazoa; Chordata; Mammalia; Perissodactyla; Equidae.
GGACGACCAGGGCGCCUGCGAAGAUGAUGCCAUCUGGGAGAGCUCCCGCUCUUCCUGCUCGCCGGACACGGAGGACCAGGGCGCCUGCGAAGAGGAUUCCAUCUGAGAGAGACGUUGCAUGGUUUCGGGUCUGACAUUCAAGUGAAAGCCGAGGGAGGAGGCUGCAGUUCCCCGAGAGCGAGCGUAGCGGGGACCCUGCGUCCCUGUCAGCGCACCUUCCCGCUGCGCGAAGGUCCGAAGCGUGUGGGCGGGGCCGCAGGAGUUCUCCCAGGAGGGUGUCCCCGUCGCUGUCCGCAGUCCACCGCCGGAGGGGGGGGCGGGGCAACGGCCGGGCAGCGUCUGGGCGGCGGCGCGCGCGCGCGAGGAGAGGAGAGGAGAGGAGCGCGCGGCUGCUGGGCCGCCGUCCUGGGAGGCGUGGGAGGCGUCGGCGAGCCGCGCCUGCCUGCCCAGAGCCGAGCCCGGCGGAGUCCGGCCGCGCUGUGCUGCUCUCUCCCGGGCCGGGCUCGUCCGUUCCCCCGGCGUCCGUGGACGCCGCUCCGCGUCCCCGCUGGGCACAGCAGCCCGGGCCCUCCACAGCCACGGC